AAUAGAUACCCAGGUAGUCCACGCCGUAAACGAUGGAUACUAGCUGUUCGUCCGCCUCGGCGGAUGAGUGGCUAAGCGAAAGUGAUAAGUAUCCCACCUGGGGAGUACGAACGCAAGUUUGAAACUCAAAGGAAUUGACGGGGGCCCGCACAAGCGGUGGAGCAUGUGGUUUAAUUCGAUGAUACGCGAGGAACCUUACCAAGGCUUAAAUGUAGAUUGACAGGACUGGAAACAGUUUUUUCUUCGGACAAUUUACAAGGUGCUGCAUGGUUGUCGUCAGCUCGUGCCGUGAGGUGUCAGGUUAAGUCCUAUAACGAGCGCAACCCCUGUUGUUAGUUGCCAGCGAGUCAAGUCGGGAACUCUAACAAGACUGCCAGUGUAAACUGUGAGGAAGGUGGGGAUGACGUCAAAUCAUCACGGGCCCUUACGCCUUGGGCUACACACGUGCUACAAUGGCCGGUACAGAGAGCAGCCACUGCGCGAGCAGGAGCGAAUCUAUAAAACCGGUCACAGUUCGGAUCGGAGUCUGCAACUCG
This 536-nucleotide ribosomal RNA is filed under the name uncultured bacterium. Its description in RNAcentral is "bacterial SSU rRNA". It matches the Rfam family "Bacterial small subunit ribosomal RNA", at positions 777 to 1314 of the family's 1533-position model. The record is from RNAcentral.